Molecule: transfer RNA, 73 nt
Filed under: Nitrososphaerota archaeon
Lineage: Archaea; Thermoproteati; Nitrososphaerota
Also listed under: 3 other names
Description: Thaumarchaeota archaeon tRNA-Gln
Rfam family: tRNA
About the family: Transfer RNA (tRNA) molecules are approximately 80 nucleotides in length. Their secondary structure includes four short double-helical elements and three loops (D, anti-codon, and T loops).
Source: RNAcentral
AGCCCGGUGGUGUAGCGGUCAAGCAUGCUGGCCUUUGGAGCCGGCGACCCUGGUUCGAAUCCAGGCCGGGCUA